UACGUAGGGUGCAAGCGUUGUCCGGAAUUAUUGGGCGUAAAGAGCUCGUAGGCGGUUUGUCGCGUCUGCUGUGAAAACUCGGGGCUUAACCCCGGGCCUGCAGUGGGUACGGGCAGACUAGAGUGCGGUAGGGGAGACUGGAAUUCCUGGUGUAGCGGUGAAAUGCGCAGAUAUCAGGAGGAACACCGGUGGCGAGGGCGGGUCUCUGGGCCGUAACUGACGCUGAGGAGCGAAAGCGUGGGGAGCGAACAGG
This 253-nucleotide ribosomal RNA is filed under the name uncultured bacterium. RNAcentral's name for it is "partial 16S ribosomal RNA". It matches the Rfam family "Bacterial small subunit ribosomal RNA", at positions 524 to 776 of the family's 1533-position model. The record is from RNAcentral.